Molecule: non-coding RNA, 79 nt
Filed under: Segatella albensis DSM 11370 = JCM 12258
Lineage: Bacteria; Pseudomonadati; Bacteroidota; Bacteroidia; Bacteroidales; Prevotellaceae
Description: L13-Bacteroidia ribosomal protein leader
Rfam family: L13-Bacteroidia ribosomal protein leader
Source: RNAcentral
GAAGGUCUACGCUUAGAAGCCUUCGCGCAGAGCCGUGUUAAUAGUACUUCUUCUGGCCGAGAAGUGCGGUUAGUGAAUC